Molecule: ribosomal RNA, 497 nt
Filed under: uncultured bacterium
Lineage: Bacteria
Description: partial 16S ribosomal RNA
Rfam family: Bacterial small subunit ribosomal RNA
Source: RNAcentral
UCUUCCCUCUGGCGGCGUGCCUAAUACAUGCAAGUCGAGCGAACGGACGAGAAGCUUGCUUCUCUGAUGUUAGCGGCGGACGGGUGAGUAACACGUGGAUAACCUACCUAUAAGACUGGGAUAACUUCGGGAAACCGUAGCUAAUACCGGAUAAUAUUUUGAACCGCAUGGUUCAAAAGUGAAAGACGGUCUUGCUGUCACUUAUAGAUGGAUCCGCGCUGCAUUAGCUAGUUGGUAAGGUAACGGCUUACCAAGGCAACGAUGCAUAGCCGACCUGAGAGGGUGAUCGGCCACACUGGAACUGAGACACGGUCCAGACUCCUACGGGAGGGAGCAGUAGGGAAUCUUCCGCAAUGGGCGAAAGCCUGACGGAGCAACGCCGCGUGAGUGAUGAAGGUCUUCGGAUCGUAAAACUCUGUUAUUAGGGAAGAACAUAUGUGUAAGUAACUGUUCACAGCUUGACGGUACCUAAUCAGAAAGCCACGGCUAAGUACGUG